RNAcentral lists this ribosomal RNA (490 nucleotides) under uncultured bacterium. RNAcentral's name for it is "partial 16S ribosomal RNA". It matches the Rfam family "Bacterial small subunit ribosomal RNA", at positions 30 to 507 of the family's 1533-position model. The record is from RNAcentral.
AUUGAACGCUGGCGGCAGGCCUAACACAUGCAAGUCGAACGGUAACAGGAAGAAGCUUGCUUCUUUGCUGACGCGUGGCGGACGGGUGAGAAAUGUCUGGGAAACUGCCUGAUGGAGGGGGAUAACUACUGGAAACGGUAGCUAAUACCGCAUAACGUCGCAAGACCAAAGAGGGGGACCUUCGGGCCUCUUGCCAUCGGAUGUGACCAGAUGGGAUUAGCUAGUAGGUGGGGUAACGGCUCACCUAGGCGACGAUCCCUAGCUGGUCUGAGAGGAUGACCAGCCACACUGGAACUGAGACACGGUCCAGACUCCUACGGGAGGCAGCAGUGGGGAAUAUUGCACAAUGGGCGCAAGCCUGAUGCAGCCAUGCCGCGUGUAUGAAGAAGGCCUUCGGGUUGUAAAGUACUUUCAGCGGGGAGGAAGGGAGUUAAGUUAAUACCUUUACUCAUUGACGUUACCCGCAGAAGAAGCACCGGCUAACUCCGUG